UACAGAGGUCCCAAGCGUUGUUCGGAUUCACUGGGCGUAAAGGGCGCGUAGGUGGCCUUGUUAGUCAGACGUGAAACCCCCAAGCUUAACUUGGGAACUGCGUCUGAUACUGCAAGGCUUGAGUUCGGGAGAGGGAUGUGGAAUUCCAGGUGUAGCGGUGAAAUGCGUAGAUAUCUGGAGGAAUACCGGUGGCGAAGGCGGCAUCCUGGACCGGCAUUGACGCUGAGGAGCGAAAGCUAGGGGAGCAAACGGG
Molecule: ribosomal RNA, 253 nt
Filed under: uncultured bacterium
Lineage: Bacteria
Description: partial 16S ribosomal RNA
Rfam family: Bacterial small subunit ribosomal RNA
Source: RNAcentral